This 724-nucleotide ribosomal RNA is filed under the name Photobacterium sp. Its description in RNAcentral is "bacterial SSU rRNA". It matches the Rfam family "Bacterial small subunit ribosomal RNA", at positions 56 to 768 of the family's 1533-position model. The record is from RNAcentral. Lineage: Bacteria; Pseudomonadati; Pseudomonadota; Gammaproteobacteria; Vibrionales; Vibrionaceae.
UGCAAGUCGAGCGGUAACAGGAAAGUAGCUUGCUACUUCGCUGACGAGCGGCGGACGGGUGAGUAAUGCCUGGGAAUAUGCCUUGAUGUGGGGGAUAACUAUUGGAAACGAUAGCUAAUACCGCAUAAUGCCUACGGGCCAAAGAGGGGGAUCUUCGGACCUCUCGCGUCAAGAUUAGCCCAGGUGGGAUUAGCUAGUUGGUGGGGUAAAGGCUCACCAAGGCGACGAUCCCUAGCUGGUCUGAGAGGAUGAUCAGCCACACUGGAACUGAGACACGGUCCAGACUCCUACGGGAGGCAGCAGUGGGGAAUAUUGCACAAUGGGGGAAACCCUGAUGCAGCCAUGCCGCGUGUAUGAAGAAGGCCUUCGGGUUGUAAAGUACUUUCAGCAGUGAGGAAGGUGGUAGUGUUAAUAGCACUAUCAUUUGACGUUAGCUGCAGAAGAAGCACCGGCUAACUCCGUGCCAGCAGCCGCGGUAAUACGGAGGGUGCGAGCGUUAAUCGGAAUUACUGGGCGUAAAGCGCAUGCAGGCGGUCUGUUAAGCAAGAUGUGAAAGCCCGGGGCUCAACCUCGGAACAGCAUUUUGAACUGGCAGACUAGAGUCUUGUAGAGGGGGGUAGAAUUUCAGGUGUAGCGGUGAAAUGCGUAGAGAUCUGAAGGAAUACCGGUGGCGAAGGCGGCCCCCUGGACAAAGACUGACGCUCAGAUGCGAAAGCGUGGGGAG